Molecule: ribosomal RNA, 395 nt
Filed under: uncultured bacterium
Lineage: Bacteria
Description: partial 16S ribosomal RNA
Rfam family: Bacterial small subunit ribosomal RNA
Source: RNAcentral
AUAUUGCACAAUGGGGGAAACUCUGAUGCAGCGACGCCGCGUGAUCGAAGAAGGCCUUCUGGUCGUAAAGCUCUGUCCUAAUGGAAGAAACGGUCGGUACCUUCGGAGGAAGCACCGUCUAAUUACGUUCUAGCAGCCGCGGUAAUACGUAGGGGGCGAGCGUUAUCCGGAAUUACUGGGCGUAAAGGGUGCGUAGGCGGCCUUUUAAGUCAGAUGUGAAAGGCUACGGCUUAACCGUAGUUAGCAUUUGAAACUAAAAGGCUUGAGUGCAGGAGAGGAGAGUGGAAUUCCUAGUGUAGCGGUGAAAUGCGUAGAUAUUAGGAGGAACACCAGUGGCGAAGGCGACUCUCUGGACUGCAACUGACGCUGAGGCACGAAAGCGUGGGGAGCGAACA